This 523-nucleotide ribosomal RNA is filed under the name uncultured microorganism. RNAcentral describes it as "bacterial SSU rRNA". It matches the Rfam family "Bacterial small subunit ribosomal RNA", at positions 9 to 524 of the family's 1533-position model. The record is from RNAcentral.
GAGUUUGAUCUUGGCUCAGAUUGAACGCUGGCGGUAUGCUUAACACAUGCAAGUCGAACGGUAACAGGAGAGAGCUUGCUCUUUUGCUGACGAGUGGCGGACGGGUGAGUAAUGCGUAGGAAUCUGCCUAGUAGUGGGGGACAACGUGUGGAAACGCACGCUAAUACCGCAUACGCCCUACGGGGGAAAGCGGGGAUCUUCGGACCUCGCGCUAUUAGAUGAGCCUACGUUAGAUUAGCUAGUUGGUGGGGUAAAGGCCUACCAAGGCGACGAUCUAUAGCUGGUCUGAGAGGAUGAUCAGCCACACUGGGACUGAGACACGGCCCAGACUCCUACGGGAGGCAGCAGUGGGGAAUAUUGGACAAUGGGCGAAAGCCUGAUCCAGCAAUACCGCGUGUGUGAAGAAGGCCUGAGGGUUGUAAAGCACUUUCAAUUGUGAAGAAUAUUUAAGGUUAAUAACCUUAAAUUUUGUACGUUAACUUUAGUAAGAAGCACCGGCUAACUCCGUGCCAGCCGCCGUAAG